AGUGAACGCUGGCGGUAGGCCUAACACAUGCAAGUCGAACGGCAGCACAGUAAGAGCUUGCUCUUACGGGUGGCGAGUGGCGGACGGGGGAGGAAUACAUCGGAAUCUACUUUUUCGUGGGGGAUAACGUAGGGAAACUUACGCUAAUACCGCAUACGACCUACGGGUGAAAGCAGGGGAUCUUCGGACCUUGCGCGAUUGAAUGAGCCGAUGUCGGAUUAGCUAGUUGGCGGGGUAAAGGCCCACCAAGGCGACGAGCCGUAGCUGGUCUGAGAGGAUGAUCAGCCACACUGGAACUGAGACACGCUCCAGACUCCUACGGGAGGCAGCAGUGGGGAAUAUUGGACAAUGGGCGCAAGCCUGAUCCAGCCAUACCGCGUGGGUGAAGAAGGCCUUCGGGUUGUAAAGCCCUUUUGUUGGGAAAGAAAAGCAGCAGGUUAAUACCCCGCUGUUCUGACGGUACCCAAAGAAUAAGCACCGGCUAACUUCGUG
RNAcentral lists this ribosomal RNA (492 nucleotides) under uncultured bacterium. Its description in RNAcentral is "partial 16S ribosomal RNA". It matches the Rfam family "Bacterial small subunit ribosomal RNA", at positions 29 to 507 of the family's 1533-position model. The record is from RNAcentral.